GGGCCUGUAGCUCAACGGAUAGAGCGACGCCCUCCUAAGGCGUAGGUUGCAGGUUCAAGUCCUGCCAGGCUCA
Molecule: non-coding RNA, 73 nt
Organism: Acidobacteria bacterium 13_1_20CM_3_53_8
Lineage: Bacteria; Pseudomonadati; Acidobacteriota
Source: Rfam